UUUUAAUGAGAGUUUGAUCCUGGCUCAGGACGAACGCUGGCGGCGUGCCUAAUACAUGCAAGUAGAACGCUGAGGUUUGGUGUUUACCCUAGACUGAUGAGUUGCGAACGG
RNAcentral lists this ribosomal RNA (111 nucleotides) under Streptococcus agalactiae. RNAcentral's name for it is "partial 16S ribosomal RNA". It matches the Rfam family "Bacterial small subunit ribosomal RNA", at positions 1 to 105 of the family's 1533-position model. The record is from RNAcentral. Lineage: Bacteria; Bacillati; Bacillota; Bacilli; Lactobacillales; Streptococcaceae.